RNAcentral lists this ribosomal RNA (400 nucleotides) under uncultured Eubacteriales bacterium. RNAcentral describes it as "bacterial SSU rRNA". It matches the Rfam family "Bacterial small subunit ribosomal RNA", at positions 356 to 774 of the family's 1533-position model. The record is from RNAcentral. Lineage: Bacteria; Bacillati; Bacillota; Clostridia; Eubacteriales.
GGGGAAUAUUGCACAAUGGAGGGAACUCUGAUGCAGCGACGCCGCGUGAGCGAAGAAGGCUUUCGAGUCGUAAAGCUCUGUCCUAGGGGACGAUAAUGACGGUACCCAAGGAGGAAGCCCCGGCUAACUACGUGCCAGCAGCCGCGGUAAUACGUAGGGGGCGAGCGUUGUCCGGAAUUAUUGGGCGUAAAGGGUUCGCAGGCGGCCUAUUAAGUCAGAUGUGAAAUCCCAUGGCUUAACCAUGGUAAGCAUUUGAAACUGGAAGGCUUGAGUUAAGGAGAGGAAAGUGGAAUUCCUAGUGUAGCGGUGAAAUGCGUAGAUAUUAGGAGGAAUACCAGUGGCGAAGGCGACUUUCUGGACUUUAACUGACGCUGAGGAACGAAAGCGUGGGUAGCAAACA